AUGGAGACAAACCUUGGAAUCCAAAGGUUUAGACUUAGUAGAACUAAAACCGAGUACAUGAGGUGCGGUUUCAGUACUACUAGGCACGAGGAGGAGGGGGUUAGCCUUGAUGGGCAGGUGGUGCCUCAGAAGGACAUCUUUAGAUAUCUGGGGUCUAUGCUACAGAAGGAUGGGGAUAUCGAUGAAGAUGUGAAUCAUCGAAUCAAAGCCGGAUGGAUGAAGUGGCACCAAGCUUCUGGCAUUCUCUGUGACAAGAGAGUGCCACAAAAGCUAAAAGACAAGUUCUAUAGGACGGCGGUUCGACCAGCUAUGUUAUAUGGCGUUGAGUGUUGGCCGACUAAAAGGUGA
RNAcentral lists this ribosomal RNA (348 nucleotides) under Triticum aestivum (bread wheat). RNAcentral's name for it is "partial small subunit ribosomal RNA". The record is from RNAcentral. Lineage: Eukaryota; Viridiplantae; Streptophyta; Magnoliopsida; Poales; Poaceae.